RNAcentral lists this ribosomal RNA (439 nucleotides) under Nocardia cyriacigeorgica. RNAcentral describes it as "bacterial SSU rRNA". It matches the Rfam family "Bacterial small subunit ribosomal RNA", at positions 54 to 510 of the family's 1533-position model. Lineage: Bacteria; Bacillati; Actinomycetota; Actinomycetes; Mycobacteriales; Nocardiaceae. The record is from RNAcentral.
CAUGCAAGUCGAGCGGUAAGGCCCUUCGGGGUACACGAGCGGCGAACGGGUGAGUAACACGUGGGUGAUCUGCCUCGCACUCUGGGAUAAGCCUGGGAAACUGGGUCUAAUACCGGAUAUGACCUUACAUCGCAUGGUGUUUGGUGGAAAGAUUUAUCGGUGCGAGAUGGGCCCGCGGCCUAUCAGCUUGUUGGUGGGGUAAUGGCCUACCAAGGCGACGACGGGUAGCCGGCCUGAGAGGGCGACCGGCCACACUGGGACUGAGACACGGCCCAGACUCCUACGGGAGGCAGCAGUGGGGAAUAUUGCACAAUGGGCGAAAGCCUGAUGCAGCGACGCCGCGUGAGGGAUGACGGCCUUCGGGUUGUAAACCUCUUUCGACAGGGACGAAGCGCAAGUGACGGUACCUGUAGAAGAAGCACCGGCCAACUACGUGCCA